Dama dama (fallow deer) is the source of this 546-nucleotide non-coding RNA. The record is from the annotation of a RefSeq genome assembly. NCBI's taxonomy places the organism in Eukaryota, Metazoa, Chordata, Mammalia, Artiodactyla, Cervidae.
AUGUCUGAGCUCAACUCUUUUUCUUUCUUUCUUUUUUUUUUUUUAGGGCUUAAAAUUUGAAUCCUCGGUGAACCAGAGGAAGCAAGAAUGAUGAAAUUUUCAGGAGUUUUAUUAGUGAUCUUGUGGCUUCAGUUAAUCUCGGUGAGCAGCCCACAGAACACAGUGGAGCAGAGUCCUGCAUCUCUGCCUGUCCCAGAGGGAGCCGUCGCCUCUCUCAGCUGCACUUACUCUGACAGUGCUUCUCUGUACUUCGCAUGGUACAGACAGUACCGUGGGAAAGGCCCUGAGUUUCUGCUGUCUGUAUAUCCUGAUAAAGACAAAGAGGAAGGAAAAUUUACAGCACAGGCCACUAAAGCCAACAAGCAUGUCUCCCUGCUUAUCAGAGACUCCGAGCCCAGCGACUCAGCCACCUACCUCUGUGCAGCGAGCACACAGUGCUCCCCCAGACACCGGCAGCCUGUGCCCAAACCUGCUGGGGCCCCAGCAGCGCCUCUUGGAGAGCUGAGGCUGCAGGGCGCACACAUCCUGUUACCUCUCCAGAUGUAA